Long non-coding RNA from Portunus trituberculatus (swimming crab), 633 nucleotides. RefSeq lists it as uncharacterized. The record is from RefSeq and is a predicted model, not a curated record. Lineage: Eukaryota; Metazoa; Arthropoda; Malacostraca; Decapoda; Portunidae. The transcript has 2 exons.
AGAGAGAGAGAGAGAGAGAGAGAGAGAGAGAGAGAGAGAGAGAGAGAGAGAGAGAGAGAGAGAGAGAGAGAGAGAGAGAGAGAGAGAGAGAGAGAGAGAGAUUGUAAGUGUUCCGGAGUGUCGAGCGACCACUUGAGUACAUCGAUUCGAAACACGUGGAGCUUCAUACCAUCGAUCUCACUGCUUCAAGACAAGCACGAGAGAGAGAGAGAGAGAGAGAGAGAGAUUGUAAUAAUUUUUAAGAAUAAUCGCCAAGAAUAAAGAAGAGACGGACAAUACGAAUUAAGAUUAAAACCGAGGAAGAGAGAGAAAGUAAGAGAGAGAAUCGGAAACAGUCAAAUAAAAAAGACAAUUCAGGAAAGCAGUGAGGCGUGAUAAGAAACGGAGAGAUAAAGUAUCAGAACCGAAGUUAGUAAAAGAUAGAGCACAGUGAAGCAAAACAGUAAGAAAAAAAAAAGGAGACGAACAAGCAAAAUCAAGAUACAUAAGAGCGAAAAGUAAAUAAAUAGUGAAAAAUACGAAAGCCAAAGCAGAGUGAACGAAUUAAGACGAGAAAGGAGUUUAAUUAAAAGAAAACACAGAAGAAGCGUGAAAGAAUAAAGGAAGAAAAUUAAUAUAGAAAAAAUAACCAAA